RNAcentral lists this transfer RNA (61 nucleotides) under Pseudotrapelus neumanni. Its description in RNAcentral is "tRNA-Ser". The record is from RNAcentral. Lineage: Eukaryota; Metazoa; Chordata; Lepidosauria; Squamata; Agamidae.
AAGAAAACCUAUGUUGGAACUGCUAAUUCCGACCCCUGGAACUAACAUACCCAGACUUCUU